This is a non-coding RNA of Acanthosepion pharaonis, 109 nucleotides long. NCBI's taxonomy places the organism in Eukaryota, Metazoa, Mollusca, Cephalopoda, Sepiida, Sepiidae. The record is from the annotation of a GenBank genome assembly.
UUACGGCCAUAUCACGUUGAAAUAUCGGUUCUCGUACGAUCACCAAAUUUAAGCAACGUCAAGCCUGGUCAGUACGUAGAUGGGUAACCGCUUGGGAAUACCAGAUGCU